UUGGGUUAAGUCCCGCAACGAGCGCAACCCUUAUCGUUAGUUGCUACCAUUAGGUUGAGCACUCUAGCGAGACUGCCCGGGUUAACCGGGAGGAAGGUGGGGAUGACGUCAAAUCAUCAUGCCCCUUAUGUCUAGGGCUACACACGUGCUACAAUGGUGAGGACAAAGAGACGCAAGACCGCGAGGUGGAGCAAAUCUCACAAACCUCAUCCCAGUUCGGAUUGCAGGCUGAAACUCGCCUGCAUGAAGCCGGAGUUGCUAGUAAUCGCGAAUCAGCAUGUCGCGGUGAAUACGUUCCCGGGCCUU
Molecule: ribosomal RNA, 306 nt
Filed under: uncultured Clostridium sp.
Lineage: Bacteria; Bacillati; Bacillota; Clostridia; Eubacteriales; Clostridiaceae
Description: bacterial SSU rRNA
Rfam family: Bacterial small subunit ribosomal RNA
Source: RNAcentral